This 502-nucleotide long non-coding RNA is filed under the name Linum usitatissimum (flax). RNAcentral describes it as "long non-coding RNA (LUSI_LNC003820)". The record is from RNAcentral. Lineage: Eukaryota; Viridiplantae; Streptophyta; Magnoliopsida; Malpighiales; Linaceae.
CAUGAUCUCCCCUUCUUUCCCUAAACUAAAAACCAUCCACACAACACAAACUCAAAAAAUCCCAUCUCACAAAAUUCACAAAUCUCUCUUCCCCAUAGAGAGAAACAUAGCUAGUACUAGUAUACACACUAAGCUAGUACUAGUACAACAACAACAAUGGCGAUAUGCACAUCCCACUUCCUAACCUCCUCAACAACUCUAAACCAUCUCAAUAACCAACCCGAACCAAUCCUCUUCUCCCGCACCACCCGCCACCACUACACUCCCCGCCGCCAAACCCACCUCACUAUAUCAUGCUCCGCCGCCCACGACACGGUGGGCAUUGGGCUGGCAUGCUCCGCCGCCCACGACACGGUGGUCAUCGGCCUGGCGGCGGACUCCGGGUGCGGGAAGAGCACCUUCAUGAGACGGCUUACCAGCGUCUUCGGGGGCGCUGCCGAGCCGCCCAAGGGUGGGAACCCGGACUCCAACACGCUCAUUAGCGACACCACGACCGUUAUUU